UGGGGAAUCUUGCACAAUGGGGGCAACCCUGAUGCAGCGACGCCGCGUGAGCGAUGAAGCCCUUCGGGGCGUAAAGCUCUUUCGACCGGAACGAUAAUGACGGUACCGGGAGAAGAAGCUGCGGCUAACUACGUGCCAGCAACCGCGGUAAUACGUAGGCAGCAAGCGUUGUUCGGAGUUACUGGGCGUAAAGAGUGCGUAGGCGGUUUUCUAAGUUCGGUGUGAAAUCUCCCGGUUUAACUGGGAGGGUGCGCCGAAGACUGGGAAGCGGGGGUGUGGGAAAGGCAGGCGGAAUUCCUGGUGUAGCGGUGAAAUGCGUAGAUAUCAGGAGGAACACCGGCGGUGUAGACGGCUUGCUAGACCAUAACU
This 369-nucleotide ribosomal RNA is filed under the name uncultured bacterium. RNAcentral describes it as "bacterial SSU rRNA". It matches the Rfam family "Bacterial small subunit ribosomal RNA", at positions 355 to 741 of the family's 1533-position model. The record is from RNAcentral.